UACGGAGGGGGCUAGCGUUGUUCGGAAUUACUGGGCGUAAAGCGCGCGUAGGCGGCUUUGUAAGUUAGAGGUGAAAGCCCGGAGCUCAACUCCGGAAUUGCCUUUAAGACUGCAUCGCUAGAAUCAUGGAGAGGUGAGUGGAAUUCCGAGUGUAGAGGUGAAAUUCGUAGAUAUUCGGAAGAACACCAGUGGCGAAGGCGACUCACUGGACAUGUAUUGACGCUGAGGUGCGAAGGCGUGGGGAGCAAACAGG
RNAcentral lists this ribosomal RNA (253 nucleotides) under uncultured bacterium. RNAcentral's name for it is "partial 16S ribosomal RNA". It matches the Rfam family "Bacterial small subunit ribosomal RNA", at positions 524 to 776 of the family's 1533-position model. The record is from RNAcentral.